AUGCACGCUGGCGGCGUGCCUAAUACAUGCAAGUCGAGCGAACAGACGAGGAGCUUGCUCCUCUGACGUUAGCGGCGGCCGGGUGAGUAACACGUGGAUAACCUACCUAUAAGACUGGGAUAACUUCGGGAAACCGGAGCUAAUACCGGAUAAUAUAUUGAACCGCAUGGUUCCAUAGUGAAAGACGGUUUUGCUGUCACUUAUAGAUGGAUCCGCGCCGCAUUAGCUAGUUGGUAAGGUAACGGCUUACCAAGGCAACGAUGCGUAGCCGACCUGAGAGGGUGAUCGGCCACACUGGAACUGAGACACGGUCCAGACUCCUACGGGAGGCAGCAGUAGGGAAUCUUCCGCAAUGGGCGAAAGCCUGACGGAGCAACGCCGCGUGAGUGAUGAAGGUCUUCGGAUCGUAAAACUCUGUUAUUAGGGAAGAACAAAUGUGUAAGUAACUAUGCACGUCUUGACGGUACCUAAUCAGAAAGCCACGGCUAACUACGUG
Molecule: ribosomal RNA, 496 nt
Filed under: uncultured bacterium
Lineage: Bacteria
Description: partial 16S ribosomal RNA
Rfam family: Bacterial small subunit ribosomal RNA
Source: RNAcentral